RNAcentral lists this ribosomal RNA (484 nucleotides) under uncultured bacterium. Its description in RNAcentral is "bacterial SSU rRNA". It matches the Rfam family "Bacterial small subunit ribosomal RNA", at positions 32 to 524 of the family's 1533-position model. The record is from RNAcentral.
AAUCAACGCUGGCGGCGUGCCUCAGACAUGCAAGUCGAACGAUUAAAGCUCUCUUCGGAGAGUGUAUAGAGUGGCGCACGGGUGAGUAACACGUAAGUAAUCUACCCUCGAGUGGGGAAUAACGUCCGGAAACGGACGCUAAUACCGCAUAAUGCAGCGGCACCGCAAGGUGACAGUUGUUAAAGGAGAAAUUCGCUUGAGGAGGAGCUUGCGGCAGAUUAGCUUGUUGGUAAGGUAACGGCUUACCAAGGCUACGAUCUGUAACCGGUCUUAGAGGACGGUCGGUCACACUGACACUGAAUAACGGGUCAGACUCCUACGGGAGGCAGCAGUCGGGAAUUUUGGGCAAUGGGCGAAAGCCUGACCCAGCAACGCCGCGUGAAGGAUGAAGUAUUUCGGUAUGUAAACUUCGAAAGAAUAGGAAGAAUAAAUGACGGUACUAUUUAUAAGGUCCGGCUAACUACGUGCCAGCCGCCGCGGUAAG